GUCAAAGCUAUGCCGAAUCCGCGCCUGAAUGACGCGGAACGGGGGAACCACAGGGGCCAAGUCGGCCCCGCGGGGCGAAUCGGACGUCUGAGUCCGUAGCGCGAUCUCUUUCAGCGCGAGCCCGUCAGCUAACUCCGUAGGCCGACGAAGGAGAUGGU
This 158-nucleotide small RNA is filed under the name Solirubrobacterales bacterium. RNAcentral describes it as "c-di-AMP sequence". It matches the Rfam family "c-di-AMP riboswitch aptamer (ydaO/yuaA leader)". From Rfam's summary of the family: This family represents a conserved RNA structure found upstream of the ydaO and yuaA genes in Bacillus subtilis and related genes in other bacteria. The ydaO/yuaA element is thought to act as a genetic "off" switch for the ydaO and yuaA genes in its native state. It is believed that the element may be triggered during osmotic shock leading to activation of ydaO, a predicted amino acid transporter gene, and members of the yuaA-yubG operon which code for KtrA and KtrB K+ transporters. The record is from RNAcentral. Lineage: Bacteria; Bacillati; Actinomycetota; Thermoleophilia; Solirubrobacterales.